GGAAGGAUCAUUAUUCACACUUGACAAAAAACGGUGGGGGGCGGAAAGGCUGGCACCUGUGUUGGUCGAUCCAAGCUUCACUCGUUUUUUAUCAUUAACCACUAGUUGAAACUGUUGCUAAACAUCACGACAUGGCGCAGGCAAGACUUCGGUCCCAACUGCUACAUGGCGUCUUUUUUUCACCACGUUGUAAAAAAUGUCUAAACUAUUAUGGAAAAAAUUAAAUUUACGUACAACUCUUAACAACGGAUAUCUAGGCUCUCGUAACGAUGAAGAACGCAGCGAAAUGCGAUACGUAAUGCGAAUUGCAGAAUUCAGUGAAUCAUCAAAUCUUUGAACGCAUAUUGCGCUCUUAGGUAGACCUAGGAGCAUGCCUCUCUGAGCGUCGUCUUCAACAAAACUCGCCUGCGUGCUUUCGAGCAUAAGGGCGGAGAAUGAGUGUCACAUCGUCCCCUAUGGAGGGUGUGUCGCUUGAAGUACAAUGCGGUCGCAACUUGCUAGUCGAAAGGCUCACACAGGUCGAGUCUCGAACUGGCAUAUGUUCGAUAAAAAUGAAUUCCGAGCCCAUUCGUGGGUGAAGAUUCAUUCCUAUCUGACAUGUGCUAGGAUGAGUUCGAUACUUUUGGGCUUGGUCGCAAGACCUAGACUGGUGGGUCGGGAUCGGCACAAAGGAAUUUUAAUAUUAACAACUUAUGACCUCAGAUGAAGCAAGAUUACCCGCCGAAUUUAAGCAUAUUAUUAAGCGGAGGAAAAGAAACUAACAAGGAUUCCCUCAGUAACGGCGAGUGAAGCGGGAAGAGCUCAAAGUUAAAAUCGGUGCUCUUAGCAGGACAUCCGAAAUGUAAUCUCGAGACACCGCGUCAGCGAUGACCUGGGCCUAAGUCUUUUGAAACAAGGCAUCAAGGAGGGUGAGAAUCCCGUCUUUGACCUGGAGAUCGUCGCGUACGAUGGGUGCUCAAAGAGUCGGCUAGCUUGGGAGUGCUGGCCUAAAUGGGUGGUAAAUUUCAUCUAAAGCUAAAUAUUGACGAGAGACCGAUAGCGAACAAGUACCGUGAGGGAAAGAUGAAAAGAACUUUGAAAAGAGAGUUAAAAAGUACUUGAAAUUGUUAAGAGCUAAGCACUGGAAACCAGUACUGCUUGUGUCUCAUUCCUCACUGACGGUGUCGAGAAUCAUUGUUGGGUUUCGUCAAAGGGCCCUCGUUGAUCCCGGCACCGGCAUGGAGCAGCUGAGAUGUGGGUGAGUCAAGAUGGAGUAGUUUCGCAGGAGAAAGCAGCUGGAAGAAGGUUUGCUUCGGCAGAUAACUAGCCAGCUGUGCUACUGUGGGGCUGCUUGAGGAAAACAAGCCGCGCCGUAAGGCGCAAGUGGUGGCUCCUGGGUGUGCUGGCUACUCACGGAAAAAUUCUGUGGGUCCCGGCGUGUUCACUGGGUUACCAUGGACGGCGGCUUCGUGAUCUUGAUAAAUGGUUUUCAUUGACCCGUCUUGAAACACGGACCAAGGAGUCUAACAUAUAAGCGAGUAUUAGGGUGUACAAACCCACUAAUGCGCAAUGAAAGUGAAGGUAACCAGUAGGUUACUGAGGUAGGAACCCUGGCGACGAGUUGGGGGGCACUAUCGACCGAUCGUUCAUUCAUGAAAGAUUUGAGUAAGAGCUUAUCUGUUGGGACCCGAAAGAUGGUGAACUAUGCCUGAACAGGGUGAAGCCAGGGGAAACUCUGGUGGAGGCUCGUAGCGAUACUGACGUGCAAAUCGUUCGUCUGAUUUGGGUAUAGGGGCGAAAGACUAAUCGAACCAUUUAGUAGCUGGUUCCUGU
Molecule: unclassified non-coding RNA, 1812 nt
Filed under: uncultured fungus
Lineage: Eukaryota; Fungi
Description: sequence contains 18S rRNA gene, ITS1, 5.8S rRNA gene, ITS2, 28S rRNA gene
Rfam family: Eukaryotic large subunit ribosomal RNA (bases 694-1812)
Source: RNAcentral